This 605-nucleotide ribosomal RNA is filed under the name uncultured archaeon. Its description in RNAcentral is "bacterial SSU rRNA". It matches the Rfam family "Archaeal small subunit ribosomal RNA", at positions 1 to 586 of the family's 1478-position model. The record is from RNAcentral.
UUCCGGUUGAUCCUGCCGGACCCCACUGCUAUCGGGAUAGGACUAAGACAUGCUAGUCGUGUGCCUCAGCCAAAACGAGGCACGGCGCACAGCUCAGUAACACGUGGCUAACCUGCCCUUAGGACGAGAAUAACCCCGGGAAACUGGGGCUAAUGCUCGAUAGGUGAAGAACUCUGGAAUGAGUCUUCACUUAAAAGAGUCUGCGUUAUGUUCGUAGAUUUCGCUUAAGGAUGGGGCCGCGACCGAUCAGGUUGUUGGUGAGGUAAUGGCUCACCAAGCCUUUUACCGGUGCGGGCCGUGAGAGCGGGAGCCCGGAGAUGGGCACUGAGACAAGGGCCCAGGCCCUACGGGGCGCAGCAGUCGCGAAAACUUUGCAAUACACGAAAGUGUGACAGGGCUAUCCCGAGUGCCAUCCGCUGAGGAAGGCUUUUACCCAGUCUAGAACGCUGGGGGAAUAAGGAGAGGGCAAGUCUGGUGUCAGCCGCCGCGGUAAUACCAGCUCUCCGAGUGGUGUGGAUGUUUAUUGGGCCUAAAGCAUCCGUAGCUGGCUAAGUUAGUCCCCUGUUAAAUCCAACGAAUUAAUCGUUGGAUCGCGGGGGAUACUG